AACCUGGUUGAUCCUGCCAGUAGUCAUACGCUCGUCUCAAAGAUUAAGCCAUGCAUGUCUAAGUAUAAACGACUUUGUACUGUGAAACUGCGAAUGGCUCAUUAUAUCAGUUAUAGUUUAUUUGAUAGUCCCUUACUACAUGGAUACCCGUAGUAAUUCUAGAGCUAAUACAUGCACCGACUCCCAACUGCCUCGGCGGACGGGACGUAUUUAUUAGAUAGAAACCAAUGCGGGGGAGACCCCGGUAUUGUGGUGAGUCAUGAUAACUGUGCGAAUCGCAUGGCCUUGUGCCGGCGAUGGAUCAUUCAAGUUUCCGCCCUAUCAGCUUUGGAUGGUAGGGUAUUGGCCUACCAUGGCAUUCACGGGUAACGGAGAACUGGGGUUCGAUUCCGGAGAGGGAGCCUGAGAGACGGCUACCACAUCCCAAGGAAGGCAGCAGGCGCGUAAAUACCCAAUCCUGACACAGGGAGGUAGUGACGAAGAAUAACAAUGCCGGGCUCUUUCGAGUCUGGCAAUUGGAAUGAGACCAAUUUAAAUCCCUUAUCGAGGAUCCUCGGAGGGCAAGUUGGUGCCGCAGCCGCGUAUCCGCUCCC
This 593-nucleotide ribosomal RNA is filed under the name uncultured marine eukaryote. RNAcentral's name for it is "SSU rRNA". It matches the Rfam family "Eukaryotic small subunit ribosomal RNA", at positions 1 to 593 of the family's 1831-position model. The record is from RNAcentral.